Molecule: long non-coding RNA, 3306 nt
Organism: Mesoplodon densirostris (Blainville's beaked whale)
Lineage: Eukaryota; Metazoa; Chordata; Mammalia; Artiodactyla; Ziphiidae
Exons: 3
Source: RefSeq, a predicted model, not a curated record
CCUCCGGGUCUGCCCGCGCCCGGGAGCCGGCGGCCAGGGGACCCGCUGCCAAGGAGGGGGCGGCGGCGGGGCCGGGAACGCGCGGCCCGGCCUGGCUGAGGAACCAGCAGGCCCCCACAGGCCCUCGUACAGUGCCUCCAGGGACUUAAACCUGCCGCAGCCAUGUGAUUACCCUGAUCUUUCUGCUGGGAGAUGAGCAAAGCUCGGAGAGGGACCAGAUCUCAGCAGAGACCAAACCAGCAGCAGUUCCUGAACACCCACCCCCCAGUGCUUCCAGAAGUGCAACAUGGACCAACCUGUGAGCAUUUGCUCUUCCUCAGGACUUUCCGGGUAGCACAGUGGUUAAGAAUCCACCUGCCAAUGCAGGGGACACGGGUUCGAUCCCUGGUCUCGGAAGAUCCUACAUGCCGAGGAGCAACUAAGCUCAUGCGCCACAACUACUGAGCCUGUGCUCUAGAGCCUGCGUGCCACAACUACUGAGCCUGCACGCCCUAGAGCCCACGCACCAGAACUACUGAGCUCAUGUGCUGCAACUACUGAAGCCCAUGCGCUCUAGGGCCUGAGUGCCGCAACUGCCGAGCCCACAUGCUGCAACUACUGAAACCUGCGCAGUAGUUGUGGCACACAGGCUUAGUUGCUCCACAAGAAGAGAGCCUGUGCUCCGCAACAAGAGAAGCCACCGCAAUGAGAAGCCUGUGCACCUCAAUGAAGAGUAGCCCCCGCUCACCGCAACUAAAGAAAGCCCGCACAGCAAUGAAGACCCAACGCAGCCAAAAAUUAAAAAAAAAAAAAAUUCAAAAAAAAAUUUUUUUUAAUUGAAAAGAAAUCUUUCACCAAGAUCUUGAUUAGUGGUAGAGCUGUUAGGAACUGGUGUCUGACUUCAGAGUAGCAUUUAGCUGCGGUAUGAGGCUGCCUGCAUGCUGGCACCCAGUAGGUACCUCUGGUUCCCGAGUAGCGAAAUGGGUGAGGUGGGUUAGAUGAGAUAGGCAGACAUGGUCAAACUGGCGUGGCCCCAUGAUGUAUCUGGUGCAGCCAGCCAGGAGAGCUGCCAAGGAAUCCUCCUAAGAAGCUUAAUGAGAAAGCCCUGCUCUGAUCUGCCAGAGGGGAAGUCCUGACGCAGUGGCUAUGGGCUAUAGAGAGGGCAGACAGACUCUGAGCUCUGAGCAGCAGUGUUUGGGGGCUCCUUAGCUGUUAUCAAGGACCUCCUGACUCUGAGUUCAGUAGAUUUUUUUCAGUCUUCAUCUUCCUUGAGUAAUUCUCAGCAGCAUUUGACUUGUAGGUGAUCAUCUCUUCUUGAAGGCCUCUCUUUCAUUGCUUACACAUUUUGAUGUACAAGGCUCUAUUUGGAUAUUAAGUGUUCCAGUACUUCAGGACUCAGCCUCAUGCUCUCUUCUCAAACUGUACUGUGUCCAGAAGGAUCUUUUUGAAAAACAAAUCUGAAUUUGUCACCCUUCUGCUUAAAACACCUCAGCGGCUUCUCCUAUUCUUCAGAAUAAAAUUUCAAGUUCUCAGCAAGGCCUUUGAGUCUCAAUCCAGUCUGCCCAUGCUGGCCUCUUCUAGCUUCAUCUUCCACCACAUUCCCCUUUCAUUCUCUGAGCUUCAUCCACACUGCUCUCCACCUGCCUCAGCUGUACUCUGCCACCCCCUACAUGUUCUCACUGCCUGGGAUGCUCUUCCUCCUCUUUGCCUAGCUAACGUCUCCUGUGCUCAGUUAAAGCACCAGUGUCUUCAGAAAAGGUGACAGCCAGGUCAAAAUGCCCUGUGACAGACACUUACCUGUGGCCCUCCCUCAGGUGUUAAUUGCAAUUGGGGUUUCAUAUUCACUGGAAUAAUGCAUUGGAAGCUCAAUGGCUGUGUCUCUUUUGCUCAUGAUUGCAUUGUAGGGUUUAGCACAAUGCUUGGCUGUAGUAGGCUGUAGGUAUUUUAUGUAACAAAUGAAAUAAAAGCUUAGUUUAUUUAACAAAACACACUAUUUAAACCUUGAAGAAACUGAAAAAGAAGUUAAGUAUGGUCAUGCAGCUAGUAUAUGGCAGAGUGGGACCUAGAUAUGGCUUCAGUGUCUGUGGUGUUAACCCCCUGCACUAUGCUAUCCCUCCACCUGUUAAGUACUUUCUGAAAGUAAAGAGAAAUGGAAGAAGGGAGAAAGUAUGUGAGAGAAAGAAAGGGACUUCCUCUCUCUCCACUCUAGAAAUACAGAGUGGGAAAUUAAGAAUGAAAUUACAUUUCACCAAAAAGGACAUAUGAAUGGCUGAUGAGCACAUGAAAAGAUUAUGAAAAGAUUAUGACUAAUGUUGUUAGUCAUAACAUUAGUCAUCAGGAAAAUGAAAAUCAAAACCAGAAUGACACCAAUGAACAAUCUAAAAAGGAAAUUAAGAAAAUUCCAUUUACAGUAGCAUCCAAAAUAAUAGAAUACCUAGGAAUAAAUUUAACCAAGGAAGUAAAAGAUUUAUACACAGAAUACUACAAAACAAAAGAAAUUAGAGACAUAAAUAAAUGGAAAGACAUCUUGUGUUUAUGGAUUAGAAGACUUAAUAUCUUUAAGAUGGCAAUACUACUGAAAGCAAUUUGCAGAUUCAGUGUGAUCUCUAUCAAAGUUCCAAUGGCUUUUCUUUUUUGCAGAAAUGGAAAAGUUGAUCCUCAUAUUCAUAUAGAAUUGCAAGGAUCCCUCCCAGUACCUUAGUGUGUUCACCAACUGGAAGCUCUCUGAACUCCAUAAUUUAGGGAUUUUUAUGGAAGCACCAUCAUGUAGGCAUUAUUGAUUAAAUCAUUGGCCAUUGGUGAUUUGAUCUCAAGCCCCUCUCCCCUCUCGGGGUGGGGCUGAACCUUCCAACCCUGUAAUCCUGGGGUUUUUUUGGCAAGCAGCCCCCCUCUUGAAACUAUAUGGGCAUCUUGCUAGCAUACAAAAGACACUCAUCACUCCAGAGAUUCCAGGGGUUUUAGAGAAGCUAUGUACCAAGAACAGGAGAUAAAGACCAAAUAUAUAUUUCUUACUGUAUCACACUACUCAACAAUAAAAAGCAGCAAACAUGCAACAACAUGGAUGUAUGUAAAAAAUCCAUCUAAGUGAAGGAAGCUAAGUGAAAUAAACCUGAUGUAAAAGACAACAUAUUGCACUAUUCUAGUAACAUGAAGUUUCUAGGAAAGUCAAAACCAUAGAGACAGAAAGCAGAUCAUUGUUUGCCUAGGGUUGGGAGUGAGCAAGGAUUGACUAAAGGGGUACAAAAGACCUUUCUGAGAGAUGGACACUGGAUUGUGUAAUGUUGGCACAACUCUACGAAUUUAUUUCAAAAAAAUCACCAAGCUAUA